GCCAGUUUAGCCUAAUGGUAGGGCAACGGUCUCCAAAACCGUCUGUGUUGGUUCGACUCCAGCAACUGUGCGCCA
Molecule: transfer RNA, 75 nt
Filed under: Mesorhizobium sp.
Lineage: Bacteria; Pseudomonadati; Pseudomonadota; Alphaproteobacteria; Hyphomicrobiales; Phyllobacteriaceae
Description: tRNA-Trp
Rfam family: tRNA (bases 3-68)
About the family: Transfer RNA (tRNA) molecules are approximately 80 nucleotides in length. Their secondary structure includes four short double-helical elements and three loops (D, anti-codon, and T loops).
Source: RNAcentral